This 497-nucleotide ribosomal RNA is filed under the name uncultured bacterium. RNAcentral's name for it is "partial 16S ribosomal RNA". It matches the Rfam family "Bacterial small subunit ribosomal RNA", at positions 28 to 507 of the family's 1533-position model. The record is from RNAcentral.
GAUGAACGCUGGCGGCGUGCCUAAUACAUGCAAGUCGAGCGAACAGACGAGGCGCUUGCUCCUCUGCCGUUAGCGGCGGACGGGUGAGUAACACGUGGCUAACCUACCUAUAAGACUGGGAUAACUUCGGGAAACCUGAUCCCAUACCGGAUAAUAUAUUGAACCGCAUGGUUCAUUAGUUCACGCCGGUUUUGCUGUCACUUAUAGAUGUUUCCGCGCCGCAUUAGCUAGUUGGUAAGGUAACGGCUUACCAAGGCAACGAUGCGUAGCCGACCUGAGAGGAUGAUCAGCCACACUGGAACUGAGACACGGUCCAGACUCCUACGGGAGGCAGCAGUGGGGAAUAUUCCGCAAAGGGCGAAAGCCUGACGGAGCAACGCCGCGUGAGUGAAGAAGGUCUUCGGAUCGUAAAACUCUGUUAUUAGGGAAGAACAAAAGUAUAAGUAAAUAUGCACGUCUUGACGGUACCUAAACAAAAAGCAACGGCUAACUACGUG